RNAcentral lists this transfer RNA (92 nucleotides) under Penicillium expansum. It matches the Rfam family "tRNA". Rfam says of the family: Transfer RNA (tRNA) molecules are approximately 80 nucleotides in length. Lineage: Eukaryota; Fungi; Ascomycota; Eurotiomycetes; Eurotiales; Aspergillaceae. The record is from Rfam by way of RNAcentral.
GGGCGGCUGGCCUAAUGGUAAGGCGUCUGAUUUCGGCUGAGCAUUGCUCAAAAAUCUCAGAAGACUUGCAGGUUCGAUCCCUGCGUCGCUCA